RNAcentral lists this transfer RNA (57 nucleotides) under Acinetobacter baumannii 99063. Its description in RNAcentral is "partial tRNA-Ile". It matches the Rfam family "tRNA", at positions 1 to 54 of the family's 71-position model. From Rfam's summary of the family: Transfer RNA (tRNA) molecules are approximately 80 nucleotides in length. Their secondary structure includes four short double-helical elements and three loops (D, anti-codon, and T loops). Lineage: Bacteria; Pseudomonadati; Pseudomonadota; Gammaproteobacteria; Moraxellales; Moraxellaceae. The record is from RNAcentral.
AGGCGUAUAGCUCAGUUGGUUAGAGCACACGCUUGAUAAGCGUGGGGUCACAAGUUC